UACGGGGGGGGCAAGCGUUGUUCGGAAUUACUGGGCGUAAAGGGCGCGUAGGCGGUUCGCUAAGUUGGAUGUGAAAACUCUGGGCUCAACCCAGAGCCUGCAUCCAAAACUGGCGGGCUAGAGUUCUGGAGGGGGUAGCGGAAUUCCUGGUGUAGCGGUGAAAUGCGUAGAUAUCAGGAGGAACACCGGUGGCGAAGGCGGCUACCUGGACAGAAACUGACGCUGAGGCGCGAAAGCUAGGGGAGCAAGCAGG
This 253-nucleotide ribosomal RNA is filed under the name uncultured bacterium. RNAcentral describes it as "partial 16S ribosomal RNA". It matches the Rfam family "Bacterial small subunit ribosomal RNA", at positions 524 to 776 of the family's 1533-position model. The record is from RNAcentral.